This 245-nucleotide ribosomal RNA is filed under the name uncultured Prevotella sp. Its description in RNAcentral is "partial 16S ribosomal RNA". It matches the Rfam family "Bacterial small subunit ribosomal RNA", at positions 524 to 768 of the family's 1533-position model. Lineage: Bacteria; Pseudomonadati; Bacteroidota; Bacteroidia; Bacteroidales; Prevotellaceae. The record is from RNAcentral.
UACGGAAGGUCCGGGCGUUCUCCGGAUUUAUUGGGUUUAAAGGGAGCGCAGGCCGGAUGUUAAGCGUGACGUGAAAUGCCGCGGCUCAACCGUGGAAGUGCGUCGCGAACUGGCGUCCUUGAGUGUGGACGACGUAGGCGGAAUUCGUGGUGUAGCGGUGAAAUGCUUAGAUAUCACGAAGAACCCCGAUUGCGAAGGCAGCCUACGAGGCCUCUACUGACGCUAAAGCUCGAAGGUGCGGGUAU